GAUUCUCUUGGAAAUAUAUUGGAGUUAGUCCAUACAGCUUGCCGAAACGAAAUAUUGGGUAUGGUUGGUAGACCCCCCACUUUUUCACUGACAUUGAUCAACAGGGAGGUUCUGUAUAUUUUUCUUCUUCAGUUGAGAAACAAUUUCGAGGCUUUUAUUCACAACUUGAAGAUUCUGGUGAACUGAAAGAAGGAAUUAAGUAUGGGUUGGAAUUAUGAAUUUAUAGCAAGGGAUGAAGAAUGCUGCAAGGAUAACUUAGGGAUGAUUUGUACAUCUGGGAUGGUUAAUUGGAUGAUGCUCUGCUGCAACAAGUUUGGAACGGAAAGGUUGGAGAACAAGGCAGUCAUUAGGUUGCAGUAAGUUUCUAUGUAUAUUCUAAGUUAGAUGAAUUUGUCAACAUAGGAAUUUCUAUGAACUGAUACUUAAGGAUCAGAUGCUUAACAAAUAAAA
Molecule: long non-coding RNA, 450 nt
Organism: Papaver somniferum (opium poppy)
Lineage: Eukaryota; Viridiplantae; Streptophyta; Magnoliopsida; Ranunculales; Papaveraceae
Exons: 4
Source: RefSeq, a predicted model, not a curated record